Molecule: ribosomal RNA, 527 nt
Filed under: uncultured bacterium
Lineage: Bacteria
Description: bacterial SSU rRNA
Rfam family: Bacterial small subunit ribosomal RNA
Source: RNAcentral
ACAUCCAGAGAAUUUAGCAGAGAUGCUUUAGUGCCUUCGGGGAACUCUGAGACAGGUGCUGCAUGGCUGUCGUCAGCUCGUGUUGUGAAAUGUUGGGUUAAGUCCCGCAACGAGCGCAACCCUUAUCCUUUGUUGCCAGCACGUAAUGGUGGGAACUCAAAGGAGACUGCCGGUGAUAAACCGGAGGAAGGUGGGGAUGACGUCAAGUCAUCAUGGCCCUUACGAGUAGGGCUACACACGUGCUACAAUGGCGCAUACAAAGAGAAGCGACCUCGCGAGAGCAAGCGGACCUCAUAAAGUGCGUCGUAGUCCGGAUUGGAGUCUGCAACUCGACUCCAUGAAGUCGGAAUCGCUAGUAAUCGUAAAUCAGAAUGUUACGGUGAAUACGUUCCCGGGCCUUGUACACACCGCCCGUCACACCAUGGGAGUGGGUUGCAAAAGAAGUAGAUAGCUUAACCUUCGGGAGGGCGUUUACCACUUUGUGAUUCAUGACUGGGGUGAAGUCGUAACAAGGUAGGCGUAGUGCU